This 424-nucleotide ribosomal RNA is filed under the name uncultured bacterium. RNAcentral's name for it is "bacterial SSU rRNA". It matches the Rfam family "Bacterial small subunit ribosomal RNA", at positions 359 to 775 of the family's 1533-position model. The record is from RNAcentral.
GAAUCUUCCACAAUGGACGAAAGUCUGAUGGAGCAACGCCGCGUGAGUGAAGAAGGUUUUCGGAUCGUAAAACUCUGUUGUGAGGGAAGAACAGGUAGGGGAGUAACUGUCCUUACUAUGACGGUACCUCAUUAGAAAGCCACGGCUAACUACGUGCCAGCAGCCGCGGUAAUACGUAGGUGGCAAGCGUUGUCCGGAAUUAUUGGGCGUAAAGCGCGCGCAGGCGGUCCUUUAAGUCUGAUGUGAAAGCCCACGGCUCAACCGUGGAGGGUCAUUGGAAACUGGAGGACUUGAGUGCAGAAGAGGAAAGCGGAAUUCCACGUGUAGCGGUGAAAUGCGUAGAGAUGUGGAGGAACACCAGUGGCGAAGGCGGCUUUCUGGUCUGUAACUGACGCUGAGGCGCGAAAGCGUGGGGAGCAAACAG